Molecule: unclassified non-coding RNA, 364 nt
Filed under: plant metagenome
Description: partial contains small subunit ribosomal RNA and internal transcribed spacer 1
Rfam family: Eukaryotic small subunit ribosomal RNA (bases 1-46)
Source: RNAcentral
AAGUCGUAACAAGGUUUCCGUAGGUGAACCUGCGGAAGGAUCAUUACUGAAUUGAAAUGCGUUAGUUAGUUGAGCUGACUUCUCCCUUUAAUGGGGAGUGGUAUGUGCUCGCUAUAUCGCUUUUUCUAACUCUCCACUGUGCACCUCUAUUGUAGGCUAUGAGUGACUCUCAAGUAGACACACUCCCAUAACGCACCCUUUGUGCGCAGAAGGGGGGAAAGGGUCUAUUUGGGUUUAAGAAGGCUUAUCGGGCAUUCAUUUUGCUUGCUUUCGACUUUGUAGCCUAUGAUCCUACAACAAACUACUUUGAUAAAGUCUUGAUGAAUGAUAGAUUGGUCUUUUGAACCAAUAUAAAGUUAUACAA